This 253-nucleotide ribosomal RNA is filed under the name uncultured bacterium. RNAcentral describes it as "partial 16S ribosomal RNA". It matches the Rfam family "Bacterial small subunit ribosomal RNA", at positions 524 to 776 of the family's 1533-position model. The record is from RNAcentral.
UACGUAGGUGGCAAGCGUUGUCCGGAUUUACUGGGCGUAAAGAGCGCGCAGGCGGUCGUGCAAGUCGCGUGUGAAAGCCCCCGGCUCAACUGGGGAGGGUCACGCGAUACUGCUCGACUCGAAGGCAGGAGAGGGAAGUGGAAUUCCCGGUGUAGUGGUGAAAUGCGUAGAUAUCGGGAGGAACACCGGUGGCGAAGGCGGCAUCCUGGACCAAUACUGACGCUGAGGAGCGAAAGCCAGGGGAGCAAACGGG